CCUGAAACCGCAUGCAUACAAGCAGUGGGAGCACCUUCGUGGUGUGACUGCGUACCUUUUGUAUAAUGGGUCAGCGACUUAUAUUCAGUAGCGAGGUUAACCGAAUAGGGGAGCCGUAGAGAAAUCGAGUCUUAAUAGGGCGUAUAGUUGCUGGGUAUAGACCCGAAACCAGGCGAUCUAUCCAUGAGCAGGUUGAAGGUUGGGUAACACUAACUGGAGGCCGAACCCACUGUCGUUGAAAAGCCAGGGGAUGACUUGUGGAUAGGGGUGAAAGGCUAAUCAAGCCUGGUGAUAGCUGGUUCUCCCCGAAAGCUAUUUAGGUAGCGCCUCGGACGAAUACCAUUGGGGGUAGAGCACUGUUUCGGCUAGGGGGUCAUCCCGACUUACCAACCGAUGCAAACUCCGAAUACCAAUGAGUACUAUCCGGGAGACAGACUGCGGGUGCUAACGUCCGUAGUCAAGAGGAAAACAAUCCAGACCGCCAGCUAAGGCCCCAAAAUCAUAGUUAAGUGGGAAACGAUGUGGGAAGGCAUAGACAGCUAGGAGGUUGGCUUAGAAGCAGCCACCCUUUAAAGAAAGCGUAAUAGCUCACUAGUCGAGUCGGCCUGCGCGGAAGAUGUAACGGGGCUAAAACUAUGUGCCGAAGCUGCGGAUUUGACAUUAGUCAAGUGGUAGGGGAGCGUUCUGUAAGCCGAUGAAGGUGUAUUGAGAAGUAUGCUGGAGGUAUCAGAAGUGCGAAUGCUGACGUGAGUAACGACAAAACGGGUGAAAAACCCGUUCGCUGAAAGACCAAGGGUUCCAGUCCAACGUUAAUCGGGGCUGGGUGAGUCGACCCCUAAGGCGAGGCCGAGAGGCGUAGUCGAUGGGAAAUUGGUUAAUAUUCCAAUACUUCUGUGUAAUGCGAUGAGAGGACGGAGAAGGUUAAGUCAGCCUGGCGUUGGUUGUCCAGGUGGAAGACAGUAGGCAUGCAUCUUAGGCAAAUCCGGGGUGCUCUAUGCUGAGAGUCGAUAGCAAGCUGUACUUGUACAGUGAAGUGGCUGAUACCAUGCUUCCAGGAAAAGUCUCUAAGCUUCAGUUACACAGGAAUCGUACCCGAAACCGACACAGGUGGUCAGGUCGAGUAGACCAAAGCGCUUGAGAGAACUCUGCUGAAGGAACUAGGCAAAAUGGUACCGUAACUUCGGGAGAAGGUACGCUGCUGACGGUGAUGGGACUUGCUCCCUGAGCUAUUGGCAGCCACAGAAACCAGGCCGCUGCAACUGUUUAUUAAAAACAUAGCACUCUGCAAACACGAAAGUGGACGUAUAGGGUGUGAUGCCUGCCCGGUGCUGGAAGGUUAAUUGAUGGGGUUAGCGUAAGCGAAGCUCUUGAUCGAAGCCCCAGUAAACGGCGGCCGUAACUAUAACGGUCCUAAGGUAGCGAAAUUCCUUGUCGGGUAAGUUCCGACCUGCACGAAUGGCAUAAUGAUGGCGGCGCUGUCUCCAGCAGAGGCUCAGUGAAAUCGAAAUCGCUGUGAAGAUGCAGUGUACCCGCGGCUAGACGGAAAGACCCCGUGAACCUUUACUGCAGCUUGACAUUGAACUUUGACCUUACUUGUGUAGGAUAGGUGGGAGGCUUUGAAGUUGGAACGCUAGUUCCAAUGGAGCCGUCCUUGAAAUACCACCCUGGUAAUGUUGAGGUUCUAACUCUGUCCCGUUAUCCGGGACGAGGACCAUGUCUGGUGGGUAGUUUGACUGGGGCGGUCUCCUCCUAAAGAGUAACGGAGGAGUACGAAGGUGCGCUCAGCGUGGUCGGAAAUCACGCGUAGAGUAUAAAGGCAAAAGCGCGCUUAACUGCGAGACCCACAAGUCGAGCAGGUACGAAAGUAGGUCUUAGUGAUCCGGUGGUUCUGUAUGGAAGGGCCAUCGCUCAACGGAUAAAAGGUACUCUGGGGAUAACAGGCUGAUACCGCCCAAGAGUUCAUAUCGACGGCGGUGUUUGGCACCUCGAUGUCGGCUCAUCUCAUCCUGGGGCUGAAGCAGGUCCCAAGGGUAUGGCUGUUCGCCAUUUAAAGAGGUACGCGAGCUGGGUUUAGAACGUCGUGAGACAGUUCGGUCCCUAUCUACCGUGGGCGCUGGAAAUUUGAGAGGAUCUGCUCCUAGUACGAGAGGACCAGAGUGGACGAACCUCUGGUGUACCGGUUGUGACGCCAGUCGCAUCGCCGGGUAGCUAUGUUCGGAAGGGAUAACCGCUGAAAGCAUCUAAGCGGGAAGCCUACCUCAAGAUAAGAUUUCCCUAGGAAUUUAUUCCUCUAAAGAGCCGUUCGAGACUAGGACGUUGAUAGGUUGGGUGUGGAAGCACGGUGACGUGUGAAGCUGACCAAUACUAAUUGCUCGUGAGGCUUGACUAU
RNAcentral lists this ribosomal RNA (2389 nucleotides) under Acinetobacter haemolyticus. RNAcentral's name for it is "bacterial LSU rRNA". It matches the Rfam family "Bacterial large subunit ribosomal RNA", at positions 549 to 2925 of the family's 2925-position model. Lineage: Bacteria; Pseudomonadati; Pseudomonadota; Gammaproteobacteria; Moraxellales; Moraxellaceae. The record is from RNAcentral.